RNAcentral lists this ribosomal RNA (696 nucleotides) under uncultured bacterium. RNAcentral's name for it is "bacterial SSU rRNA". It matches the Rfam family "Bacterial small subunit ribosomal RNA", at positions 32 to 715 of the family's 1533-position model. The record is from RNAcentral.
AACGCUAGCUACAGGCUUAACACAUGCAAGUCGAGGGGAAACGACAUCGAAAGCUUGCUUUUGAUGGGCGUCGACCGGCGCACGGGUGAGUAACGCGUAUCCAACCUGCCCACCACUUGGGAAUAACCUUGCGAAAGUAAGACUAAUACCCAAUGAUAUCUCUAGAAGACAUCUGAAAGAGAUUAAAGAUUUAUCGGUGAUGGAUGGGGAUGCGUCUGAUUAGCUUGUUGGCGGGGUAACGGCCCACCAAGGCAACGAUCAGUAGGGGUUCUGAGAGGAAGGUCCCCCACAUUGGAACUGAGACACGGUCCAAACUCCUACGGGAGGCAGCAGUGAGGAAUAUUGGUCAAUGGACGAGAGUCUGAACCAGCCAAGUAGCGUGCAGGAAGACGGCCCUAUGGGUUGUAAACUGCUUUUAUAAGGGAAUAAAGUGAGUCUCGUGAGACUUUUUGCAUGUACCUUAUGAAUAAGGACCGGCUAAUUCCGUGCCAGCAGCCGCGGUAAUACGGAAGGUCCGGGCGUUGUCCGGAUUUAUUGGGUUUAAAGGGAGCGUAGGCCGGAGAUUAAGCGUGUUGUGAAAUGUAGAUGCUCAACAUCUGAACUGCAGCGCGAACUGGUUUCCUUGAGUACGCACAAAGUGGGCGGAAUUCGUGGUGUAGCGGUGAAAUGCUUAGAUAUCACGAAGAACUCCGAUUG